This 12756-nucleotide long non-coding RNA is filed under the name Triticum aestivum (bread wheat). RNAcentral describes it as "long non-coding RNA (TAES_LNC005745)". The record is from RNAcentral. Lineage: Eukaryota; Viridiplantae; Streptophyta; Magnoliopsida; Poales; Poaceae.
UGCAUUUUAUUUUCUUGAUCAAAAGAGAGGCCCCCCUCUCCGAUUUCACUAAGAGAAACCAAGGUUCACAGCUACUACUAGGGUUUUUGUUACCCCGCACACGACAUACUAUCUUACAUGACCGGGGAUUACGACGAACCCCAGCCCAGCACCUCAAAAGGAUCGUGCAAGAUCUGAAAAUGAAAGCAGAGCACCCACACAACACUUCAGACACAGCAUACAGUAGUUGGAAGCAAAGCCUAGCACAUCAUAGCUAAAGCAAGAACUAGAUAACGGCUGAGGCAGCAGCAACGACGAAGAAGGUAAGCCACUGGGAAGACGAUCGGGACCUCAGCGCAUGCUCAUACAUGAUCAAGCAUCGACGGAUGCAAUGUUGGUGGCAUCGUUGCAGAACCGGCCGCACGCAUCGCCGCAGCGCCCCACGCCGACUUUCGUGUCUUCGCCAAGCUCAGCUGAUGACAAGAUCAAGAUAUGUGCAAUGCUCAUUCCAAACCGAAAAAAAAACUUUUCCCUCUUAUGAUAAAUUGAAAGUUAUAUAUACAGAUGAUGAGUUAAUUCAGAUACUACCUGAAUUGACGUUGUCACAGACUGAGAGCCUACAUCCUAAUUUGCAGUACUCAAUGGCGUCUGGUUCUUCUUCCGCAACAGCAGGAGCAAGCAUUAGUCAACCAGCCGUUAAUUGCAAUUUCUAUGCAUCUGGGAGCAAAAUGAUGUAGAGAAAACAGGAAGGGUGGCUUGGGUUCACGUACCAGCUGAACCGGGGAGAAGGUUGAGCUUAGGGUAUUCCCUGGGGCAUGUGCUGUCCCUUGUGAGCACACAGCCACACAUUUUUGAGCAGGGAGUACUNNNNNNNNNNNNNNNNNNNNNNNNNNNNNNNNNNNNNNNNNNNNNNNNNNNNNNNNNNNNNNNNNNNNNNNNNNNNNNNNNNNNNNNNNNNNNNNNNNNNGGGGCUGUGCUCGCAGCCUUGUCCACGGCCAGGCGAUGAACCUAUGGAUGCAGGAAAACGCCCACACCGGCGUACACGCCCGGAAAGACCGAGGCGUAGCUGGCCUUGCCCGCAGCCGGCAUGACCAAGACCUGGCCGGCCUUGCCCGCGGCCGUUGCCGGCUUUGUGGCCGAUGUAGAAACAUAUAAUAAGUUCAGGCAAUCACCGGAGCCUCUCCGGUUUACUAAAUACUACUCCCUCCCUCCGUUCACCAUUAUAGGAUGUUCUAACUUUUUUCUGAAACAGAUGUAUAUAGCCGUAUUUUAGUGUAUUUGUUCACUCAUUUCAGUCCAUAUGUAGUCCAUAUUGAAAUAUAAAAAAUAUCUUAAUAGUGAACGGAGGGAGUAGAAGAUAAGGUUUAGAAGUGCUCCUCUACUGAGUAUGAACGAAGUAAAUUAUGGAACUCGCGGCGGAUCUUCCUCAAGUAUGUACAGAUAUAAAUAAAAGAUUGACGUGGGAUCUCAGUGCAUUUUAUUUUCUUGAUCAAAAGAGAGGCCCCCCUCUCCGAUUUCACUAAGAGAAACCAAGGUUCACAGCUACUACUAGGGUUUUUGUUACCCCGCACACGACAUACUAUCUUACAUGACCGGGGAUUACGACGAACCCCAGCCCAACACCUCAAAAGGAUCGUGCAAGAUCUCAAAAUAAAAGCAGAGCACCCACACAACACUUCAGACACAGCAUACAGUAGUUGGAAGCAAAGCCUAGCACAUCAUAGCUAAAGCAAGAACUAGAUAAUGGCUGAGGCAGCAGCAACGACGAAGAAGGUAAGCCACUGGGAAGACGAUCGGGACCUCAGCGCAUGCUCAUACAUGAUCAAGCAUCGACGGAUGCAAUGUUGGUGGCAUCGUUGCAGAACCGGCCGCACGCAUCGCCGCAGCGCCCCACGCCGACUUUCGUGUCUUCGCCAAGCUCAGCUGAUGACAAGAUCAAGAUAUGUGCAAUGCUCAUUCCAAACCGAAAAAAAAACUUUUCCCUCUUAUGAUAAAUUGAAAGUUAUAUAUACAGAUGAUGAGUUAAUUCAGAUACUACCUGAAUUGACGUUGUCACAGACUGAGAGCCUACAUCCUAAUUUGCAGUACUCAAUGGCGUCUGGUUCUUCUUCCGCAACAGCAGGAGCAAGCAUUAGUCAACCAGCCGUUAAUUGCAAUUUCUAUGCAUCUGGGAGCAAAAUGAUGUAGAGAAAACAGGAAGGGUGGCUUGGGUUCACGUACCAGCUGAACCGGGGAGAAGGUUGAGCUUAGGGUAUUCCCUGGGGCAUGUGCUGUCCCUUGUGAGCACACAGCCACACAUUUUUGAGCAGGGAGUACUUGGGUGCACAAGAAGGCACACGUUGUAACAGUUUCUUGACCUGGUGUCUCUGCAGCAGCUCUUGCCCUCUGCUACUUGGAUUUGUCCCUGGACAAGCAGUCCCAGUAUCAGUAUGAGUGCACACAUGAUCACGCUCUUGAAAUGCUUGCUCUCCAUGGCUGCCUUCCCUGCUGCGAAAACGCACAGGAACAAGACUCGUAUAUAUGGCCCCAAUUUAUAGGAGACGAUGCUCCGCAUGGGCAGUAAUUGUUGAGAAGUGAUAUGCAUGAAUGAGCCGUGCUCCGCUGAGAGCCACGUACACGGUUGAGAUCGUCUACAUGUGCGCUGCGUGCCCUAGGCGAUUAUGCGGUGCCCGCUAACUCCUACCUGCCUCGUGCAUUAAGUUUUCACGUGCAGCUCUUGUGCCAUGGCCGACUAGGAUGUUUUUAGGUGUAUUUUACUUUACUCUUGUGUUAUGGACAGAUACGUGGCCACUCGACCGGUUGUCAUCGUCGACGGUACCUCGCCCAGAAGAUGCCUACUCUCCAUCCUCAUUAGCUUCCGUGUUCUUCUUCUUUUUUCUUUUCUCUUAUUUAUUUUUCAAGAAAACUUCCGAUAUAUUCAUCUGCAAUCAUGGCACUACAACAAACAUCUUAAAUAAUAAAAAUUAUAUCCAGAUCCGUAGACCACCUAGCGACGACUACAAGCAUUGAAGCGAGCUGAAGACGCGCCGCCGUCAUUGCCCCUCCCUUGCAGGAGCUGGACAAAACUUGUUCUAGUAGACAGUCGAAAAAUCGUCGUACUAAGGAAACCGCCGCCGAUGAAGAGAGUAGUGUAGAUCGAAAGAAUUCAAUCUGAAAACACAUGAACAUAGACGAACUAUGAUCAGAUCCGAGCAUAUCCAGCAAGAACAGAUCCGCCGGAGACACACCUCCACAUGCCCAUCGAUGAUGCUAGACACACCAUCGGGAGGGCAGGCUGGGAGAACCUUAUUCCAUCUUCAGGGAGCUGUUGUCAUCUCGUCUUCUUGAAUAGGACACAAACUCUAACAAAAUACGAAGGAACAACUGAAAACAAAGCCCUUCCCCGACAAGGGCCGAGAUCCACCACACCACCAUGGCCCUAAAACCAUCGCAGACGACACGUACCGACGGCAGUACCAGCAGGAGGUGGGGGAACCCUAGACCAGCAAUUUUGUGGCCCAAGUUAGCACCUAGGAAAAAUUCUUCUUCUACUACUUCUUCUCUCUUAGGCUGCCCGUAAUGGAAGUAUCAUACUCCCUCCGUCCGGGUUUAUUGGGCCCCUGGGCGGAGGGAGCUCGUCCGCUCUUAUUAGGCCCCUUAAUCGAUAUGGCUGCCAAAAGCAGAAAACGCUUCGUUGCUUUCUCGAUCUCCUCAGCCGCGGUUCAUCUUCCGAAGCGCAUUAAAUUUCCAUCCGCUGGCAUGCAGAAGAAGCUGCUAUACAUUGAGCGGACUAGUACUCCUAGCACAACGCCACAACAGUAGUCCCAGGAAAGAAACCAGCGUCUCGCCGGCCGGAUGCAGCGCUGUACCAGCAAUGUCGUCGCGACCGAAGGCGGAGCACAGCGUCGACGUUGAUCCGGACGCGGAGACCCAGUCCGGGCUGGGCUUGGACGCGUCGCCGACCAACCUCGCCGCUGCUGGGCACGCAGAGCUCGGUGUCCAUGGUGCGUCGCUGGCGGAGCACAGCGUGGACGUCGAUCCGGACGCGGAGACCCAGUCCGGGCUGGGCUUAGGCGCGCCACUGCCAGACCUCGUCGCUGCUGGGCACGCAGACCUCGGCGUCCAUGAUGCGCCGCAGGCCGAGCACGACAUGAAGGUCGCUCCCGACGCGGAGACCCAGGCGGAGCUGGGCUUGGGCGUCCAGGACAUGCAGGUAUGUAUGCAUGCCUUAUCCAGGGAUCAUGGUGAUGUUUAGUCGGUGCAGUUAGGCCGGCCAUGGUACUUAGCUUUUGUAGGAUGAAUAGCAAACGAUGCAUGCUCCACCCUUGUCUUUACAUGAUGGCUACAUGCAGGGCGGCGUGCUGGACGUGGGGCAGGGCAUCCUCGCGCAUGCCCACGACGUGCUCGACGUCGCGCAGGGCAUCCUCGCGCUCGCCCAGGAGGGUCCAUACCUUGGGGCGCUGCUGGACCAGGUGGAGGCUCUCAUGGACACCGUCACGGCGCUCGUCGACGACGCCACGGCAUUGGUGAACCAGCGACCGGGUGUGCUCGGCAGGGAGGAGGGAUUCGUGGUGCCAAGGAGGACUGGAUUCGGACUGAAGAGAGUUGAACACGCCAAGAUCUAGGGCGUUAGUGUCCGGAGAAUUAGGUGGCUGCAUCACAACCCUAAUGUCCCAACCACCUUGAGCAGCUGCCGCACACACCGCCGGAUCAUCUGGUCGAACAUGUGUCUUGCCAUUGUCCUGUUGGAUGAAAAUAGGCUUGUACCGAUCCUCUUGCGGCCACUUCUCCUUGAUUGCCGGCAACACCUUCGUGAUCAAGUAUUCCCGGCUCUUCUCCAUGCCGACUUUAUCGCAUGGCUUGAGCUCCAACGUUCCUCUAGGCCUGUUUGGGCUUCUCCUCUGUGAUGGUUUCCACUCAACAUAGGGCCAAAUUCCAAUUUUACCAUCAAAAGUACAAUUGCCUUGCAUAUCAUAUCUUGGCCUAGCAACAGUAGCAAGAACCAUGAUCUUCUCAAUGUGUCCCUUGUUUUUGGCGUGCCUCACGGGGUUCGGCUCGUUAAUGCCCAAAUAAACCCCCUGGGUUUUCCUUGUACGAUAAAACCACUUUUCAUCAAUAUGGACCACAUUAAACGAAUCCUUGAAGACAGGGUUCUCCGGCAUACUAGCGGGUUCUAGGUUUGAAAGGCAAUACAUGACACGAGCUUUCUUGUUUUCUUCCGCUAGCAUAGGCUUGAGCUCGUUGGUGUGUUUGCGUAACUCAUGCUCCUUCAAAAGCCUGUGAACGGUGGUCUUCGCCAUGUUCAAUGCACCGGCAACAUCUCUAAUUGUUGUUCGAUCAUUCGGAGGGACGGCGGCUAAAGCAUCUGAGUCCAAUGUAACACGCUUUCUACCAACUCUGCCCGGCCGCUUGUUGAUAACCGCAUUCACACCACCUCCUCUCCUACCAUUAUCCCAUAUCCGCCGAAGAACCCUAACUGACACUUUAUAUAGAGCUGAUAUUUUCUUAGUCACCCCACGUUUCAAUGGACCACGUCCAUUUAUCUCCAAAAUGGCCGUAUACAGUGAACGCUUUUCGUCAUCAGUAUGAAAUGUCCUUCUUUUCCUAUUGGCCAUCACAUCUGGGAACAAACAUAAGAGUAGAAUUUUGUUAAACAACAAGUGUGAAAAUAAGUGUUCAUACAUCUGGGAACAAAUAUAAACAAUAUAAAAAAAUACCUAUUGCUCAUUCUGUAAAGUUGCAGGAAAUAUACAUGUGCAAAAUCCAUCUAUGAAACCGAUAAAAAAAUAUACGCACUGUUCCAUUGCAUAUUCGAACUAAAAAAUAAGUGUUCAUACACAAAGCAAGCAAACCUACUUAGAUCGAUGAUGUUGUUGGUCUCAUGAUCUUCAGCGUUCUGGUCCGUGCCGUCUCCUUCUUCCUCGACGUGCUGGUCCAUGCCAUGUCCGUGCUCCUCGCCGUGCUGGUCCAUGCCGUGGUCGUCCUCGCCGUGCUGGUCCAUGUCGUGGCCGUCCUGGCCGUGCUGGUCCGUACCCUGGCCAUCUUCCUCGCCGUUCUGGUCCGUGCCGUGGCCUUCUUCCUCGACGUGCUGGUCCAUGUCGUGGCCGCCGUACGCGCCGCCAUCGUGAGAACGGAAGGCGCCGCCGUCGUGGGCACCGUACGCGCCGCUGUCGUGUGCAUAGUACGCGCCACCGUCGUGGGCACCGUAUGCGCCGCUGUCGUGUGCACAGUACGCGCCGCCGUCGUGGGCAUCGUACGCGCCGCCGUCGUGUGCACAGUACGCGCCGCCGUCUUCGUGCCUUGUGAACCAACGACUGCCCCGCCAGCCGGACAUACUACCAUUGGAGGAGCUCGCCACCGACGGCAACCGACCAGCAAGACCGAGACGAAGAUGGCGUUCAGCGCCGGACGAGCUACCUAUGUCGCGAACGGCAGCGUGUCCUCCCCCGAGGAGCGCGGGGCUGUGCUCGCAGCCUUGUCCACGGCCAGGCGAUGAACCUAUGGAUGCAGGAAAACGCCCACACCGGCGUACACGCCCGGAAAGACCGAGGCGUAGCUGGCCUUGCCCGCAGCCGGCAUGACCAAGACCUGGCCGGCCUUGCCCGCGGCCGUUGCCGGCUUUGUGGCCGAUGUAGAAACAUAUAAUAAGUUCAGGCAAUCACCGGAGCCUCUCCGGUUUACUAAAUACUACUCCCUCCCUCCGUUCACCAUUAUAGGAUGUUCUAACUUUUUUCUGAAACAGAUGUAUAUAGCCGUAUUUUAGUGUAUUUGUUCACUCAUUUCAGUCCAUAUGUAGUCCAUAUUGAAAUAUAAAAAAUAUCUUAAUAGUGAACGGAGGGAGUAGAAGAUAAGGUUUAGAAGUGCUCCUCUACUGCGUAUGAACGAAGUAAAUUAUGGAACUCGCGGCGGAUCUUCCUCAAGUAUGUACAGAUAUAAAUAAAAGAUUGACGUGGGAUCUCGGUGCAUUUUAUUUUCUUGAUCAAAAGAGAGGCCCCCCUCUCCGAUUUCACUAAGAGAAACCAAGGUUCACAGCUACUACUAGGGUUUUUGUUACCCCGCACACGACAUACUAUCUUACAUGACCGGGGAUUACGACGAACCCCAGCCCAGCACCUCAAAAGGAUCGUGCAAGAUCUGAAAAUAAAAGCAGAGCACCCACACAACACUUCAGACACAGCAUACAGUAGUUGGAAGCAAAGCCUAGCACAUCAUAGCUAAAGCAAGAACUAGAUAACGGCUGAGACAGCAGCAACGACGAAGAAGGUAAGCCACUGGGAAGACGAUCGGGACCUCAGCGCAUGCUCAUACAUGAUCAAGCAUCGACGGAUGCAAUGUUGGUGGCAUCGUUGCAGAACCGGCCGCACGCAUCGCCGCAGCGCCCCACGCCGACUUUCGUGUCUUCGCCAAGCUCAGCUGAUGACAAGAUCAAGAUAUGUGCAAUGCUCAUUCCAAACCGAAAAAAAAACUUUUCCCUCUUAUGAUAAAUUGAAAGUUAUAUAUACAGAUGAUGAGUUAAUUCAGAUACUACCUGAAUUGACGUUGUCACAGACUGAGAGCCUACAUCCUAAUUUGCAGUACUCAAUGGCGUCUGGUUCUUCUUCCGCAACAGCAGGAGCAAGCAUUAGUCAACCAGCCGUUAAUUGCAAUUUCUAUGCAUCUGGGAGCAAAAUGAUGUAGAGAAAACAGGAAGGGUGGCUUGGGUUCACGUACCAGCUGAACCGGGGAGAAGGUUGAGCUUAGGGUAUUCCCUGGGGCAUGUGCUGUCCCUUGUGAGCACACAGCCACACAUUUUUGAGCAGGGAGUACUGGGGUGCACAAGAAGGCACACGUUGUAACAGUUUCUUGACCUGGUGUCUCUGCAGCAGCUCUUGCCCUCUGCUACUUGGAUUUGUCCCUGGACAAGCAGUCCCAGUAUCAGUAUGAGUGCACACAUGAUCACGCUCUUGAAAUGCUUGCUCUCCAUGGCUGCCUUCCCUGCUGCGAAAACGCACAGGAACAAGACUCGUAUAUAUGGCCCCAAUUUAUAGGAGACGAUGCUCCGCAUGGGCAGUAAUUGUUGAGAAGUGAUAUGCAUGAAUGAGCCGUGCUCCGCUGAGAGCCACGUACACGGUUGAGAUCGUCUACGUGUGCGCUGCGUGCCCUAGGCGAUUAUGCGGUGCCCGCUAACUCCUACCUGCCUCGUGCAUUAAGUUUUCACGUGCAGCUCUUGUGCCAUGGCCGACUAGGAUGUUUUUAGGUGUAUUUUACUUUACUCUUGUGUUAUGGACAGAUACGUGGCCACUCGACCGGUUGUCCUCGUCGACGGUACCUCGCCCAGAAGAUGCCUACUCUCCAUCCUCAUUAGCUUCCGUGUUCUUCUUCUUUUUUCUUUUCUCUUAUUUAUUUUUCAAGAAAACUUCCGAUAUAUUCAUCUGCAAUCAUGGCACUACAACAAACAUCUUAAAUAAUAAAAAUUAUAUCCAGAUCCGUAGACCACCUAGCGACGACUACAAGCAUUGAAGCGAGCUGAAGACGCGCCGCCGUCAUUGCCCCUCCCUUGCAGGAGCUGGACAAAACUUGUUCUAGUAGACAGUCGAAAAAUCGUCGUACUAAGGCAACCGCCGCCGAUGAAGAGAGUAGUGUAGAUCGAAAGAAUUCAAUCUGAAAACACAUGAACAUAGACGAACUAUGAUCAGAUCCGAGCAUAUCCAGCAAGAACAGAUCCGCCGGAGACACACCUCCACAUGCCCAUCGAUGAUGCUAGACACACCAUCGGGAGGGCAGGCUGGGAGAACCUUAUUCCAUCUUCAGGGAGCUGUUGUCGUCUCGUCUUCUUGAAUAGGACACAAACUCUAACAAAAUACGAAGGAACAACUGAAAACAAAGCCCUUCCCCAACAAGGGCCGAGAUCCACCACACCACCAUGGCCCUAAAACCAUCGCAGACGACAUGUACCGACGACAGUACCAGCAGGAGGUGGGGGAACCCUAGACCAGCAAUUUUGUGGCCCAAGUUAGCACCUAGGAAAAAUUCUUCUUCUACUACUUCUUCUCUCUUAGGCUGCCCGUAAUGGAAGUAUCAUACUCCCUCCGUCCGGGUUUAUUGGGCCCCUGGGCGGAGGGAGCUCGUCCGCUCUUAUUAGGCCCCUUAAUCGAUAUGGCUGCCAAAAGCAGAAAAUGCUUCGUUGCUUUCUCGAUCUCCUCAGCCGCGGUUCAUCUUCCGAAGCGCAUUAAAUUUCCAUCCGCUGGCAUGCAGAAGAAGCUGCUAUACAUUGAGCGGACUAGUACUCCUAGCACAACGCCACAACAGUAGUCCCAGGAAAGAAACCAGCGUCUCGCCGGCCGGAUGCAGCGAUGUACCAGCAAUGUCGUCGCGACCGAAGGCGGAGCACAGCGUCGACGUUGAUCCGGACGCGGAGACCCAGUCCGGGCUGGGCUUGGACGCGUCGCCGACCAACCUCGCCGCUGCUGGGCACGCAGAGCUCGGUGUCCAUGGUGCGUCGCUGGCGGAGCACAGCGUGGACGUCGAUCCGGACGCGGAGACCCAGUCCGGGCUGGGCUUAGGCGCGCCACUGCCAGACCUCGUCGCUGCUGGGCACGCAGACCUCGGCGUCCAUGAUGCGCCGCAGGCCGAGCACGACAUGAAGGUCGCUCCCGACGCGGAGACCCAGGCGGAGCUGGGCUUGGGCGUCCAGGACAUGCAGGUAUGUAUGCAUGCCUUAUCCAGGGAUCAUGGUGAUGUUUAGUCGGUGCAGUUAGGCCGGCCAUGGUACUUAGCUUUUGUAGGAUGAAUAGCAAACGAUGCAUGCUCCACCCUUGUCUUUACAUGAUGGCUACAUGCAGGGCGGCGUGCUGGACGUGGGGCAGGGCAUCCUCGCGCAUGCCCACGACGUGCUCGACGUCGCGUAGGGCAUCCUCGCGCUCGCCCAGGAGGGUCCAGACCUUGGGGCGCUGCUGGACCAGGUGGAGGCUCUCAUGGACACCGUCACGGCGCUCGUCGACGACGCCACGGCAUUGGUGAACCAGCGACCGGGUGUGCUCGGCAGGGAGGAGGGAUUCGUGGUGCCAAGGAGGACUGCAUUCGGACUGAAGAGAGUUGAACACGCCAAGAUCUAGGGCGUUAGUGUCCGGAGAAUUAGGUGGCUGCAUCACAACCCUAAUGUCCCAACCACCUUGAGCAGCUGCCGCACACACCGCCGGAUCAUCUGGUCGAACAUGUGUCUUGGCAUUGUCCUGUUGGAUGAAAAUAGGCUUGUACCGAUCCUCUUGCGGCCACUUCUCCUUGAUUGCCGGCAACACCUUCGUGAUCAAGUAUUCCCGGCUCUUCUCCAUGCCGACUUUAUCGCAUGGCUUGAGCUCCAACGUUCCUCUAGGCCUGUUUGGGCUUCUCCUCUGUGAUGGUUUCCACUCAACAUAGGGCCAAAUUCCAAUUUUACCAUCAAAAGUACAAUUGCCUUGCAUAUCAUAUCUUGGCCUAGCAACAGCAGCAAGAAACAUGAUCUUCUCAAUGUGUCCCUUGUUUUUGGCGUGCCUCACGGGGUUCGGCUCGUUAAUGCCCAAAUAAACCCCCUGGGUUUUCCUUGUACGAUAAAACCACUUUUCAUCAAUAUGGACCACAUUAAACGAAUCCUUGAAGACAGGGUUCUCCGGCAUACUAGCGGGUUCUAGGUUUGAAAGGCAAUACAUGACACGAGCUUUCUUGUUUUCUUCCGCUAGCAUAGGCUUGAGCUCGUUGGUGUGUUUGCGUAACUCAUGCUCCUUCAAAAGCCUGUGAACGGUGGUCUUCGCCAUGUUCAAUGCACCGGCAACAUCUCUAAUUGUUGUUCGAUCAUUCGGAGGGACGGCGGCUAAAGCAUCUGAGUCCAAUGUAACACGCUUUCUACCAACUCUGCCCGGCCGCUUGUUGAUAACCGCAUUCACACCACCUCCUCUCCUACCAUUAUCCCAUAUCCGCCGAAGAACCCUAACUGACACUUUAUAUAGAGCUGAUAUUUUCUUAGUCACCCCACGUUUCAAUGGACCACGUCCAUUUAUCUCCAAAAUGGCCGUAUACAGUGAACGCUUUUCGUCAUCAGUAUGAAAUGUCCUUCUUUUCCUAUUGGCCAUCACAUCUGGGAACAAACAUAAGAGUAGAAUUUUGUUAAACAACAAGUGUGAAAAUAAGUGUUCAUACAUCUGGGAACAAAUAUAAACAUUAUAAAAAAAUACCUAUUGCUCAUUCUGUAAAGUUGCAGGAAAUAUACAUGUGCAAAAUCCAUCUAUGAAACCGAUAAAAAAAUAUACGUACUGUUCCAUUGCAUAUUCGAACUAAAAAAUAAGUGUUCAUACACAAAGCAAGCAAACCUACUUAGAUCGAUGAUGUUGUUGGUCUCAUGAUCUUCAGCGUUCUGGUCCGUGCCGUCUCCUUCUUCCUCGACGUGCUGGUCCAUGCCAUGUCCGUGCUCCUCGCCGUGCUGGUCCAUGCCGUGGUCGUCCUCGCCGUGCUGGUCCAUGUCGUGGCCGUCCUGGCCGUGCUGGUCCGUACCCUGGCCAUCUUCCUCGCCGUUCUGGUCCGUGCCGUGGCCUUCUUCCUCGACGUGCUGGUCCAUGUCGUGGCCGCCGUACGCGCCGCCAUCGUGAGAACGGAAGGCGCCGCCGUCGUGGGCACCGUACGCGCCGCUGUCGUGUGCAUAGUACGCGCCACCGUCGUGGGCACCGUAUGCGCCGCUGUCGUGUGCACAGUACGCGCCGCCGUCGUGGGCAUCGUACGCGCCGCCGUCGUGUGCACAGUACGCGCCGCCGUCUUCGUGCCUUGUGAACCAACGACUGCCCCGCCAGCCGGACAUACUACCACUGGAGGAGCUCGCCACCGACGGCAACCGACCAGCAAGACCGAGACGAAGAUGGCGUUCAGCGCCGGACGAGCUACCUAUGUCGCGAACGGCAGCGUGUCCUCCCCCGAGGAGCGCGGGGCUGUGCUCGCAGCCUUGUCCACGGCCAGGCGAUGAACCUAUGGAUGCAGGAAAACGCCCACACCGGCGUACACGCCCGGAAAGACCGAGGCGUAGCUGGCCUUGCCCGCAGCCGGCAUGACCAAGACCUGGCCGGCCUUGCCCGCGGCCGUUGCCGGCUUUGUGGCCGAUGUAGAAACAUAUAAUAAGUUCAGGCAAUCACCGGAGCCUCUCCGGUUUACUAAAUACUACUCCCUCCCUCCGUUCACCAUUAUAGGAUGUUCUAACUUUUUUCUGAAACAGAUGUAUAUAGCCGUAUUUUAGUGUAUUUGUUCACUCAUUUCAGUCCAUAUGUAGUCCAUAUUGAAAUAUAAAAAAUAUCUUAAUAGUGAACGGAGGGAGUAGAAGAUAAGGUUUAGAAGUGCUCCUCUACUGAGUAUGAACGAAGUAAAUUAUGGAACUCGCGGCGGAUCUUCCUCAAGUAUGUACAGAUAUAAAUAAAAGAUUGACGUGGGAUCUCAGUGCAUUUUAUUUUCUUGAUCAAAAGAGAGGCCCCCCUCUCCGAUUUCACUAAGAGAAACCAAGGUUCACAGCUACUACUAGGGUUUUUGUUACCCCGCACACGACAUACUAUCUUACAUGACCGGGGAUUACGACGAACCCCAGCCCAGCACCUCAAAAGGAUCGUGCAAGAUCUCAAAAUAAAAGCAGAGCACCCACACAACACUUCAGACACAGCAUACAGUAGUUGGAAGCAAAGCCUAGCACAUCAUAGCUAAAGCAAGAACUAGAUAACGGCUGAGGCAGCAGCAACGACGAAGAAGGUAAGCCACUGGGAAGACGAUCGGGACCUCAGCGCAUGCUCAUACAUGAUCAAGCAUCGACGGAUG